This 227-nucleotide ribosomal RNA is filed under the name uncultured Enterobacterales bacterium. RNAcentral describes it as "partial 16S ribosomal RNA". It matches the Rfam family "Bacterial small subunit ribosomal RNA", at positions 104 to 334 of the family's 1533-position model. Lineage: Bacteria; Pseudomonadati; Pseudomonadota; Gammaproteobacteria; Enterobacterales. The record is from RNAcentral.
GGGUGAGUAAUGUCUGGGAAACUGCCUGAUGGAGGGGGAUAACUACUGGAAACGGUAGCUAAUACCGCAUAACGUCGCAAGACCAAAGAGGGGGACCUUCGGGCCUCUUGCCAUCAGAUGUGCCCAGAUGGGAUUAGCUAGUAGGUGGGGUAAUGGCUCACCUAGGCGACGAUCCCUAGCUGGUCUGAGAGGAUGACCAGCCACACUGGAACUGAGACACGGUCCAG